GUUUUCCCCUUCCCCUGUUUCUACAAUGCCGCCGAAAGCUUCCUCCGCGUCGCGGUGGGGCCGCACCAGAUCGUCCGCCAGAAAAUCUGCUCCCGAAUCCGCCGGCCAGAAACCUUCUCCGCCUCCAUCCACUUCCACCGCCGUGACCGAUUCCCCAUCGCCUCAAAAAGACAAUCAAUCCUCUCCCUUGAUGACCUACUCUACAAAUUCUAAAAUCAGUGAGCAUCCGGAGCAAUCUCUGAGCAUCCAAGUUCCAGAAACAAACACUGGGGAAACCGGAGUUGAGUUGAAUGAAGCUGACCAAGGCACGCCGCCAAAAACAGUGGAAAUUAAAGCUGUUGGGGAGCAGAAAGUAGGGCAGAGUGGUAAGAAAAAAGUGGUGAAAAAGACGGUAAAGAUUGUUAAGAAGAUUAUCAAGAGGAAAGUGCCCAAAUCUGUUGCAAAGAACAGCAAAAUGACGGACGAAUCAGAAGAAGGCCACGCAGAAACUGUUUUGGAUUCACUCGAUGUUGAGAAAGCUAGCUCUCGAGGCACAAUUGAACCAGAAACUGUAUGUUUAGAGGUUAGUAGUGCUGCUACAGUUGGUGAGGGUGGUAACUCGGAGAAGGACAAUUUUCAGCCAAAAGAAGUUGAGGAAGGUAUUAUUGCUGUUGAGGUUAUGCUAGGAAAGGAUGGAAUGAAGGACUGUGAGGUUACUGUAGCUAAAGAUAAGUUGGAGCUUCCAAUUUUGGGAUGUAAUGAUGCAAAGGACAAUCUAGGUUCCCCUGAGACAGGAAAUGUAGUUGUUGAUUCAGAAAAAGGUAAUCUCCGUUCAGUAAAGAUUGUCAAGAAGAUUGUAAAGAAGAAAGUGCCCAAAUCCGUUGCAAAGAACAGUAGAAAGACUGAGGAAUCAGAAAAAGGCAGGGAAAUUGCUGACGCAGAAACUGUUUUGGAUUCAUUAGAUGUUAAAAAAGCUAACUCUCGAGGCACAAUUGAACUAGAAACUGUAUAUGUAGAGCCUUGUAAUGCUGCUGCAGUUAGUGAGGGUGGUGACUUUGAGAAGGGCACAUUUCAUCCAGUAGAAGUUGGGAAAGGUACUAUUGCUGCUGAGGGUAUCUUAGGAAAGGAUAGAAUGAUGGACUCUGAGGUUAGUGUAAACGAAGGUAAAUUACAGCUUCCCAUUUCAGAAAAUAAAGGUGCCAAGGACAAUAUAGGUUCACUCCAGACAGGAAACACAGUUCUUGAUUCAGAAAAAGGUAAUCUUCGUCCGGUAAAGAUUGUCAAGAAGAUUGUGAAGAAGAAAGUGCCCAAACUUGUUGCCAGGAAAAGGGAAAAAAAGGAAGAAUUGGUGAAAGGUAGCAACAAUGGGGAUGCAGAAACUAUAAUGGAUUCAGCAGGCGUUGAAAAAUCUAAACCUAGUCCUCCAGAAACUGAAAACCUAGAAUCUUGUAAGGAUGUUUCAGCUGAAAAUGAGGAGUCAAAGAAACAUAGUUUACAUCCGAUGGAAGUUGAGAAGGCUGAGUGUGUUAGUGAGUUUGGUGCAACUGAAAACACAUUAGAGGCUUGCAUGUUGGAAUGCAAAGAUAGUGUUGUUGAGAAUGAUAAUAUGGAUUCCCUUGAAACACAAAUUGUAGUUCUUGAUUCAGAAAAAAAUAGUCUUAAUGUUUCUACUAGUGAUAAUGUGGAUUCGAGUAAGGAUCAAAAUUUGGUUCAGUUGGGAGAGGAAGGGUACAGUCAAGGCAGAGAGGAAACAAAGGAAGCUGUGGAUACUAGUCUGAGGUUGAAUGAAGGAAUUCUAUUGAGUGGGGAAAUGGAGGCAUUAGAACGGAAAAAGAGGCGGAGGACAGAGAUAUUCAUUGGGGGAUUAGGCAAGGAGUCAAAGGAAGAGGAUAUUAGGAGUAUCUUUGGUGAGGUUGGUGAGGUUGUGGAUGUAAGAUUGUUGAUAAAUCAUGAAACAGGAAAGAACAAGGGGUUUGCUUUCCUCCGGUAUGCUUCUGCUGCUGAUGCAAAGAAGGCUGUAGAAAGAUAUUCCAAAGUUGAGAUAUCUGGGAAGCAAUGUCGUGUAUCCCUUGCUGAGGGUAAUGACACAAUAUACCUGGGUAAUAUUGACAAGAAAUGGAAGACUGAAGAUGUGAUUGAUCUACUGAAGAAGGCUGGAAUUGAAAAUAUCGAUAAGGUCACAGUUAUGGCUAAUCCUAACAACAUCGAGCAGAAUCGAGGCUUUGCAUUUGUUGAACUUGAAACAAGUAAAGAAGCUCAGAUUGCUUUCAGUAAACUCCAAAAGAAGGAUGCUUUUGGGAAACACAUGAACGUAAAAGUUGCAUGGGCACAGCCUUUAAUUGAGCCAAAUGAAGAAGAACUGCUAAAGGUUAAAUCAGUUUAUGCUGAAUAUUUACCUUCCUCAUGGAUUGAAGAAAAAGUGCGAGACUACUUUGGCAAAUUUGGUGAAAUUGAGAGUGUUGUUCUUGCAAAAGAUCUUCCUUCCUCAAGGAGAAAAGAUUUUGCCUUUGUCAAUUAUAUAAGCCGCGAGUCUGCUCUUGCGUGCAUUGAAGGAUUCAGUCAUGAACCAGCUAAUGAAAGCGGAUCCAAGGUAAGCAUUAAGGUAUCUCUUGCUAAACCCAUGCCAAAGAGUAAGCAAACUAAACGUGUAACCCUUCCUACUAGAAGGGAACCUCCGGAGAAGAAGAAAAUACAGGACCAUUCCAUCUUGAAGAGGCAUGAACCCAGCAGAAAGGUAAACUACAUGAGAAGAUAUGAUGAGGAUCACAGAGUUGAAGGAUCUUCUUCUACAACCAAUGAACUUCUGCACCUCUUGAGACAACAAGGGCCAGUUCGUCAGCUCCAUUCCGGUUUGAACAUGGGUAUUAACCAUCAGUACUCGUUAUCUGGAAGCAAGCGACCGUUUUCAGCUGUAGUACAUAAUCCACAUCGUAUGGAUUCCAGUGGAGUUUCUAGAGUGCACUUAGAAAGCUCUUUCCCUACUGCAAACCGAAGUAUGUUGCCACAUAGUCGUGGACCUCUGGGUACACCAUCUUUUGCCUAUUAUGGCCAGCUUGGCAGUGACCAUUCACCAGGUUCAGUUUAUGGGGUCCAAAGCUUUCCGAAUUCUUUUCAGUCUCAUGACCACGACCCUUAUGGUGGAAAUCGUAGCAUAUAUCGUAGAUAUUGAAGGAGUGAUUUGGGAAUCCCACUGAACUGAUGUUUCUAGCAAAGGAUUGACUGUCAUACUGACCUGUUAUUUUGAUUCUGUCAAGUUAUUUGUAAAGUUCAUAGGAAUGUUCAGUUGAGUUGACUCAUGCUCAAGGGGUUUUGUAACUUCAUCUUUACAUAUUUGGGUGACCACCCCAGGACCCAGGUCCUUUCUGUAUACCCUGCAAAUUUUGGCUUUUCGCCUCCUGUUAAAUAUAAUCAACAAUCUAUUCUCAUGAAUUUUCAAGAACUAUUUUU
Molecule: unclassified non-coding RNA, 3426 nt
Filed under: Hevea brasiliensis (rubber tree)
Lineage: Eukaryota; Viridiplantae; Streptophyta; Magnoliopsida; Malpighiales; Euphorbiaceae
Source: RNAcentral